Molecule: non-coding RNA, 60 nt
Filed under: Spodoptera frugiperda (fall armyworm)
Lineage: Eukaryota; Metazoa; Arthropoda; Insecta; Lepidoptera; Noctuidae
Source: RNAcentral
UCGACACGACAUUUUUAAAUCUCCAUCGACUGUGCGACAAGGAACAAUGUCGCGGCGAUG